AUGAGCGCCGACGACGCCCUCCGUCUGUUCGACGGAAUGCCUCCUGGUAGCGAGGACGAGAGUGCGCCGCUGAUGAGCGCCACCGACCGCAUCGGCGCACUCCCCGACCAUAUUCUCCACCACCUGCUCUCUUUCCUCCCAGCGCAGGCAGCCGUGCGGACGUGCGUGCUUGCCCGGCGCUGGCGCCACCUUUGGAGGUCCACUACAGGCCUGCGCAUCGUCGGCCUUGACGAUGAGGAGCCUGUCCAAGUUCAAGACCUCCGGAAGUUCAUGGAUCAUCUGCUGGUCCUGCGUGAGCGCACCGACCUGGAUACCGUUCAGAUCAAAUUCGAUCUGUUCAAUCAGGAUGACGAGCCCUAUGUGAACCUAUGGACCCGUUUUGCUGUGAUUUGCAAAGUUCAGGUGCUCACCCUUCGUAUCCAUGACGAGCUUGAGUACCUCGACCUAGACGACCUGCCUCUUGUCUCUCGGCAUCUGAGAACACUGAACCUUCAUGGUGUAUCCCUACGAAAGACGUUUGUUGAUUUUGCUAGCUGUACAGCAUUGGCAAAUCUGAAGAUAGAUGAUUGCUUCAUCAAUUUCAAUAAGAUAUCGUCCUGUUCCCUGAAGCAUUUGAGCAUCACUAGCUGUCAAUCUGAUUUGGAUUGCCGGGUCCGUAUUUCUGCUCCCGGCCUUGUCUCUCUGGAACUAGAAGACUUUAUUGGUAUAACCCCUUUGCUUGAAGACAUGGCAUCACUAGAAGCCGCAUGUGUGGAUCUUAGCGUUGAAUGCAAAGAUGUCUGUUUGAAUUAUGGCUCUGGUGUUUUCUGUGGAGCUAAUGAUAAUACAUGUAAGAAUUGUGUUCCUGGUAGUGACGAUUGCAGCAGCGAUUGUGUGCUUCUGGGUGGUAUCUCAAGUGCUAAACACCUCAAGUUGAUAUCUGAUACUGGAAAGUUCAUUUUCACAAGAGAUUUGAAACAUUGCCCUACAUUUAGCAAGUUAAAGACUUUGUUACUCAACAAGUAUUGGUGCGUGGCUCCUGAUUUGGAUCCACUAUCUUGCAUUCUGACAAACUCACCAGUUCUCGAGAAGCUCACUCUUGAACUUUUUCCCAAGGGGCAAAAUCCUAAACUGGAGAUAAAAGGAAGCUACUGUUGCAUGGAGAGACCGUCUGCAAUAUCAGAGCACCUCGACAUAGUUGAAGUCAAGUGUGAUGUGAUCGACGAGAUAAUUCGUAAAGUUUUGAAGUUCUUGUGUGCAUUGAACAUACGAUUCAGUUUCGAGUAA
This 1266-nucleotide ribosomal RNA is filed under the name Triticum aestivum (bread wheat). Its description in RNAcentral is "partial small subunit ribosomal RNA". Lineage: Eukaryota; Viridiplantae; Streptophyta; Magnoliopsida; Poales; Poaceae. The record is from RNAcentral.